UCUCAGCGGCCUUGGGAAGCCGGAGAUUCUGCCUUCACACAAGCACAGUAAAUUGUGGACCCCCAAUCAGUGGCAGUGCCCAGGACCCUGAUGGAAGGACCAGAGACUCUGGUGGCUGGGGAGCUGAAUUCCCAUGCAUUUGGCAAAGUGCAGACAUGGAGCACUUUCCUGCAAGAGUAAACCUACAGGGCCAAGCCCACAGACCGUACAGGGAGCUCCGAGGACCAGAGGGCAGGAACCUCACCAGAGAACCUGCUUCUGUGCAACAACCUGGCCUGGCCAACUUGCUGCAGGGCACAGAAGGGUGCAAGCACAUGUGACUGCAGGGUGGAUGCACGCAUUUAUCUGUGUGCCUGGAUGUCUCUGGCAAUCACCUCUAAGCUCCCCAGGACCAGAACCAUACUCAACCUUUCAUUCUCAUUUCCCAAACAGGUCCUUUGCUUUGUGUUGUAGGUCACAAUGGAUAUUUGUUAAUAAGAUUUACAUCUAUUUGUUGUUUGUUUGCUUCAAAACAUGCCAGAGAACAUACAUAUUUAAGACAAAGAAAUGACACGUGGUGAAAUGAGGACUAUAAUAACCAACCACAGUUGCUGUAAGAUUUCAGUGAGACCACGCAGAAGUAAGCACCAUGCAAACUGCGGGGCUGAAUGGAGUCCCUGUGAAUGGACUUCUGAAAGUCCUCAGGCAAUUGUGAAGCAUGAAUGAACCAUAUGGAAGAGAUUGUUAGAGUGUGUGGGGUGGGGGCACAGAGGCUGACACAGCCACCUUGUGCCAGGAAUGAUAUACUUGGCUGUCUUUAGUCCUGAGGACGCUACGUGGUAGGUAUUGCUUCCAUCUAUUUUAUACAGGUUGGGAACCUCAGACUGUGUUAAGCCAUACAUCACGCUGCCCAGCUCAUAGGAAGCAGGACUGGGACCCCCACCCAGGAGUCUGUCUCGGGCUGUUGCCUGGGGCCAAAGCCUUGCUCUUGAGCCAGAGCUUUUGGGGAAAACAAGGCAGAUCUAGGCAUCUUGAAGAAAAACAAAAAGCAGGACUGUGUAAAGCUAAAAUGGCUUACCAGCCCACAAAGAGACUCUAGGGGAUAGCAGGGUGUGGGAUUAGGGGCAGAGAAGUCUCAGACUUGAAAUUUGGGAGCUGAAAUGAGUUUGCGGAGGAGGUCGUGGGCCUUCUUCCCUCGAGACCACUACAAAUAGGGCAUGGCAGCCAUCAGUGGCAAUAAUCAGUGGUUCGCUGCUCAUCAGAAACCAGGGUGGGCUGAGGAAAUACUAGCCAAGGUAUUCAUCCGGCUGUCCCACUUUUGGGAGGCCUGCUUUGUAGGAACACAAGCUCACAGUCCAGGAUGGCUGGGAGUGGCUGGUUAUGCAGCCAACUUAUGUUGCUGUAUUCCUCUCAGGGACUUUGCCGAGCGCCUCUCUGGUGCAUUUGAAACUGGACUGGGUCAUUUGUAGGGCAUGUCAGAGGCUGCCUCCUUAUGAAGGGGUGUGGGUCUGUACACUCAGAAAGUGGCUGCUCCUUUGCUGGCAGGGGCUGUGGGGUCUGUCUUCUUUGUGUCCCCGCUGUCCUGAAACCUGUGACAUGACCAGUGUGCAGUCACAGAGCUCCAAACUUCUCAGCCCCCUCCCGAUUCUUUUACCUGGAGAAGCCUGCUCUUUGCUGCCCACCUUUGCCUGACUUCUGGCUCUGGAUCCAUUGCCUGCUCCCUGGUUGUAGCCUGUCACUCCUCUGCUGGACUCCCUGGGGCUCACCUUGGUUUUCCUUCUAUAAGCAUGGCAUGCUCACCAUUUGGGCUUUGUCUACUCAACUCUGAGGGAAGCACACUGUUGUUAAGAGACCCCAGCUCACACAAGUCAGCCUCCGGGAAUGGAAGUGAU
Manis pentadactyla (Chinese pangolin) is the source of this 1871-nucleotide long non-coding RNA. RefSeq lists it as uncharacterized. The transcript has 3 exons. The record is from RefSeq and is a predicted model, not a curated record. Lineage: Eukaryota; Metazoa; Chordata; Mammalia; Pholidota; Manidae.